Vitis vinifera (wine grape) is the source of this 368-nucleotide long non-coding RNA. RefSeq lists it as uncharacterized. The transcript is spliced from 2 exons. The record is from RefSeq and is a predicted model, not a curated record. NCBI's taxonomy places the organism in Eukaryota, Viridiplantae, Streptophyta, Magnoliopsida, Vitales, Vitaceae.
UCUUAUUGCUUAACCCUAACCAUUGUUUUCUUCUCCUUCUUCUCACACCCAUGGUCGGCACACCCAUAAUUGAUAUUCUUUGCUUCGUAAAAUCUCGGGUAUACACUCUUGGGAGGACAAUAUGAAGAAUAAAAAGAAAGGAGAAAGAGGCAACAAGAUUUAGGUUUUUAGAUAUGACUCUUAUGUCAUAUAUUAUAGGACAUAAAUGUUACUUUAUUUGGAAUUGAGAAUUUUGGGUUUUUGGAUGCAACUCUUGUGUCAUUUUAUGGUUAGCCGGUUUUAUGCAUAUGAAAUGCAAGUAUACAUGAAUGUUGGGAAGCUUAACAUUUCUAAAUCAUGUUUUAAUGUGUAUUCACUUUUCUUUUUUA